Molecule: ribosomal RNA, 473 nt
Filed under: uncultured bacterium
Lineage: Bacteria
Description: bacterial SSU rRNA
Rfam family: Bacterial small subunit ribosomal RNA
Source: RNAcentral
ACUCCUACGGGAGGCAGCAGUAGGGAAUCUUCCACAAUGGACGAAAGUCUGAUGGAGCAACGCCGCGUGAGUGAAGAAGGGUUUCGGCUCGUAAAACUCUGUUGUUAAAGAAGAACAUAUCUGAGAGUAACUGUUCAGGUAUUGACGGUAUUUAACCAGAAAGCCACGGCUAACUACGUGCCAGCAGCCGCGGUAAUACGUAGGUGGCAAGCGUUGUCCGGAUUUAUUGGGGCGCAAAGCGAGCGCAGGCGGUUUUUAAGUCUGAUGUGAAAGCCUUCGGCUCAACCGAAGAAGUGCAUCGGAAACUGGGAAACUUGAGUGCAGAAGAGGACAGUGGAACUCCAUGUGUAGCGGUGAAAUGCGUAGAUAUAUGGAAGAACACCAGUGGCGAAGGCGGCUGUCUGGUCUGUAACUGACGCUGAGGCUCGAAAGUAUGGGUAGCAAACAGGAUUAGAUACCCUGGUAGGAUAGCG